This 34918-nucleotide long non-coding RNA is filed under the name Brassica rapa (field mustard). Its description in RNAcentral is "long non-coding RNA (BRAP_LNC001549)". The stretch from base 4720 to 4791 matches the Rfam family "tRNA". Lineage: Eukaryota; Viridiplantae; Streptophyta; Magnoliopsida; Brassicales; Brassicaceae. The record is from RNAcentral.
UUUUGGUGAUGGGUAGUACUUUCAAAAUGUAAAAAGCCUAAGAAAGUAGUACACACUAAUCUUAAACGUCAAGUAAAGUUUUAUGAACAUUUUUCAAAAUUUAUUCUGAGACUGUGUUUUAUGCAUUUAACAUAAUAAUCAAACCUUUGUAAAUUCAAUGGUCAGCUUGCAGACCAUUUUUGAAUUAUAUAGGCAACGAUCGAUUGUUGAUAUUGGAUUCACGGUCUAGUUUAGGAGAAAAAGGAGAGUAUGAUGAUGAGUUUGUUAUAUGGUUAUUGUUUGGGACAGGGAGCGGGAAAUGCAGGAGCUAAACCGGUCGACGAACUCGAGAAUGGCGGGUCUAAGUUUAUUCUCGUUGGUGGUUACGUUGUUUGUAGCCGGUUUACAACUAUGGCAUCUCAAGUCAUUCUUGGAGAGGAAGAAGCUUCUCUAAUCAAACAAGUUGUUACUCUUUUAUCGGAUUUUGGUGUUAUCCAUUUUAGCUUCUUUUUUACUAAAUAAAUCACUUUCUUUAUCUUGGAUUUUCAGAAUCUAACACUCCAUUUUCUGGUUAUCGUAAAGUAAGAUCAUACAUUUCGUACUGAUUAGAAGUCUUGUUGUGUCACAUAUUGAAUAUUUUCUUCUUCUGCUGGUCGCAUAAUGGAACUAAGAUCCGGCUAGUCAGGCAAUUAAGCUGUGUUGUUUUGUAACGGCCGGGAUAGUAAUAGCCGGAUUGGUUAAACCAAAACACAUCACUAGGAAACUUAUAAUGCAUAGAGUUUCAUGACUCGUUCAAGUCUCGUAGAAGAUAGCACAAAUGGGAACCAGAAAACAAAACAAAACAACAAAACAUAAACCUAGAGAAAAGGGUGAGUGGGUUACUUACUUAAUUAGUGAAUAGAAGCUUGAGAGAUACAAUCCCUUACAAAGAAGGGUUUUAGUCAUGGCCCUUGUGGUGUUUAUCCUUCUUCUUGUUCUUCUUCUCAUCGUCACUAUCGUGAUGGUCCUUCUCCUUCUUCUUUUUCUCAUCAUGAUCGUCUUUCUUCUUGUUCUUCUUCUUCUCAUCAUAAUCAUCAUGAUGGUCCUUCUUCUUCUUCUUCUUUUCAUCAUCAUCAUCAUAGUCCUUUUUCUUCUUCUUCUCAUCAUAAUCAUCAUGAUGGUCCUUCUUCUUCUUCUUCUUUUCAUCAUCAUCAUCAUAGUCCUUUUUCUUCUUCUUCUUCUCAUCAUAAUCAUCAUGUUGGUCCUUCUCCUUCUUCUUCUUCUUUUCAUCAUCAUCAUCAUAGUCCUUUUUUUUCUUCUUCUUCUCAUCAUAAUCAUCAUGUUGGUCCUUCUCCUUCUUCUUCUUUUUCUUCUCAUCAUCAUCAUGAUGAUGGUCCUUGACCUUGUCCUUCUUCUUUUUCUCAUCAUAACCAUCAUCAUGAUGGUCCUUUUCCUUCUUCUUUUCAUCAUCAUCAUGAUGGUCCUUCUCCUUCUUCUUCUUUUCCUCAUCAUAACCAUCAUCAUGAUGGUCGUUGUGGUGCUUGUAUUGGUCCUUCUCCUUCUUCUUUUUCUUCUUCUCAUCAUCGUCAGAGACAUUACCAUCCUUUUUCUUAUCCUUCUUCUUGUUCUCCUCAUCACCAGGGUCCUUCCCACUCUGCAACAUUUAAAUAACAAUUAGAGCCAGAGAGGAUAUAUUAAUAUUCAUCCAAAACCUUUACGUUGCAAUUUCAAUAAAAAAAGUCAAUCACUCAGCAAAACAAGAAAAUUAAAGAAACCUUCAAAGUGUGUUCUCUCAGGCCAAAAUAUCAACAAAUAAAACAAUAAUAAUUCACCAUGAGAUUCUAUAUUCCAUAUAUAUAUUCCAAUUUUCAAACUUAAACACAAUCUAGAUGCACAAAGAUUAUAUUACUUUACUAAAUGAACUUACAUAUUUUGUGUGGCUGUGCUCCAACUCAGGUGGUGUACGGCCAUACUCAACAUCCGUUCUUCCGCCAUAUCCGGAAUCAGGUUUCCUUCCACCGUACUCACCUUCAACGUGAACGCCUCCGUGACCUCCGGGUCGGGUUUUGGGUCGGGCGUAGCUACUGUACUCGGUGUUCAGAGCCUGGUCGCCAUAAGCAGCAGGCUCAUGGCUAGAGGAAAACACAGGCCGCUGAUAUUCGAAGGCGUCGCCGGAGCGAGAGGAGAGAGGGUAACAAGUCUCGUCCGACGGCGGGACUGAGCGACCGUACGUCACGGUGAUGUCAUAGCCUCCGCUAUACGGCGUCGGAUCGUAGUCGUUGAAUUCAUCAACUUCAUCGUCGUCUUUGGUGUAGUACGGCAUCGUUUAAGCGUCUCCUUCUUCUCUCUGAUUAAGAGAUCGUUGCUCAGUUUAUGCUUCCCCUUGUUUACUUGGCCACCAUUACGCGGGAAAGUCAAUGAUGCCACGUGGCUUCUCUACCUUUGUUGUCUAAAAGUCAAAAGUAUCGUUUAUUCUAUCCAAAAUUAAACCAAGUGGCAAAUCCGGUCGGACCGCAAACCAUAUUAUUUAGUGUAUAGUUGUUUUACUUGUGUACCGUCAAUCUUGAAUCUUAUUCAAUGCUUCUAUAGAAUAUUAUUAGUUCUAAAAUAUAUCUAAACUAAAACGAUAGAUUUGGUCUCUGAUGAGAAGUUUUAAAUUAACAAAUAAACAUACAUACUGACGUUGAUUUUGUAGAGUACGUCGGACCGGGUUAAAGAACACCGUUCACGAACUAAGGGGUGACAUUUACAAAUAAAUGAAAAUACAGGGAGGUUUUUAGAAAUAACAAGAAGUAACAGAACAAGACGAAGAAACUAUAAAAGAACAGAACAGAUGGUGAUCAAACAACACGACACAUACAAACCGAGUUAAAGCUGUCUCCUUUCUCACCAAUCGUAAAUCACCACCAUGGCUCCGCCGCGAAUACAAUGCAACUAAUUUUUUUCGGACACUGUCACUAGAGAGAGAAGAGAGAAGAAGAGUUUCAGUUAUGGAGACGAUUAGAAUGGUGAGGGUUACGCAGGACGGUUCCGGAGACUACCUCUCCGUCCAAGACGCAGUCGACUCGGUGCCUCUCGGAAACACGUGUCGUACCGUGAUCCGUCUCUCACCGGGGAUUUACCGACAGCCUGUGUACGUGCCCAAGAGAAAAAACUUCAUCACUUUCGCCGGAAUCUCCCCGGAGAUCACCGUCAUCACUUGGAACAACACCGCUUCGAAGAUCGAGCAUCACCAGGUUUUUUUUCUUUUCUGAAAACCUUUCUAUUCUUGGCAAAAGCACGUGUAUCACUCUGAUUGGUUUGUUUGUCAGGCGUCGAGAGUCAUAGGGACGGGAACGUUUGGGUGCGGGAGUGUUAUUGUCGAAGGUGAAGACUUUAUUGCAGAGAAUGUUACUUUUGAGAACUCUGCUUCUGAGGUAAAUGAACUCUGUACCUUUAAAAUUCUAAAUGAAAUUCCGUACUGUAAUGUAAAAACUCUAUUUUUUUCUUCUUUUAAAAUAGAGUAAUUAUGUAUUCGAAAGUAUUGUAAUAGAGUUGUAGUCUAUUCCAAUCAGAAAAAUAUAAUGAUGAACAGAAAAUAAAUAAAUGAAGUAAAAUUUACUUUUUAUUUUAUUAUAAAGUGAAAAGUGGAAUAGGAUUAGAUCAAUUUUUACUACAAAUUUCAUCUGAUUCCGACAAAAGUUUACAACUUGUUUCAUCAGUUUUGUAUGGUUCUUUUACUUCUUAUAUAUGCAUAGGGAUCAGGACAAGCUGUGGCGAUUAGAGUCACUGCAGACCGUUGUGCCUUUUAUAACUGUCGCUUUCUUGGCUGGCAGGUUCGUUUCUUUAUUCAGACAACGUCAAAAUGUUAUUGUUCUUCAGGUCUCUUUAACGUUAUGUACUUGUUAAGUUUAGAUGUGUGCUUUAUUGCAAACGGUGAAGUGCAGGAUACGUUAUAUUUGCAUCAUGGGAAACAAUAUUUGAAAGACUGCUAUGUGGAAGGAAGUGUGGAUUUCAUAUUUGGGAACAGCACGGCGCUCUUGGAGCACUGCCAUAUCCACUGUAAAUCUCAGGGUUUUAUUACAGCACAAAGCCGAAAAUCGUGUCAGGAAUCUACUGGUUACGUGUUCCUAAGGUCUGUUUUUGUUUAUGUUUAUUUGGUAUGUAUUCGAAUAUUCAUCCAAGGGAGCUCAGUUUCUACAUACUUUGUUGUAGAUGUGUGAUCACUGGGAAUGGUGAGAGUGGGUAUAUGUAUCUGGGAAGGCCAUGGGGACCGUUUGGGAGGGUGGUGCUUGCGUACACUUACAUGGAUGGGUGUAUCAGAAAUGAUGGUUGGCAUAACUGGGGAAACGCUGAGAAUGAGAGAAGUGCUUGCUUUUAUGAGUACAGGUACAUACUGUAACAAGUUGCAGUAAAAAACAUUAGGUUGGUUAUUUAAUACUGUUUUUUUGAUGGAAAAACCUCAGGUGCUUUGGUCCUGGUAGCUGUUCGGCCGGACGUGUUACGUGGUCGAGAGAACUGAUGGAUGAAGAAGCGGGACACUUUCUGCAUCAUAGUUUUGUGGAUCCAGAUCAGGACCGGCCUUGGUUGUGUCUGAGAAUGGGAGUGAAAACACCAUAUUUUGCGUAGAAUACUUGUUGUAAUUGAACUUGGAAUAUUAUCUUUGUCAAAGUGAAUAAAUGCACACACCAAAACCAAAAAAAGUUGCAAAUUAUCUUUUGAUUGUUUUCUUCUUGUUUAAGCGUUGGUUAUCAAAACUACACCGAUGAUAAUUAUCAAAAUGGGCGUUUGGUCUAGUGGUAUGAUUCUCGCUUAGGGUGCGAGAGGUCCCGAGUUCAAUUCUCGGAACGCCCCUUGUUUUUCUCUUUUUAUCCACUGACUACUCGAUUUAUACUGGAAGAGUAUCUUCCUCUUUCUCAUUGUGUGUUUCAGAUUCAUUUUAUAAUUCGUGAAUGAAUUCAAAGCGAAAAGGUAUCACAGACGAUAUAAAAGGACCGAGUGAUUUUUCUUGAUUUAUUAAAAACAUUGUACAAAAUUAACAUGAUCCAUGACAUAGUGAACUUCUAAUCAUCAUCGUUCUUACUUCUUACAUAACAUUUAUAUUUAUUAUCAUCACAUAUAUAUUACUUUAUUAAGUUUUUUUUUGUCAAAGUAUUACUUUAUUAAUUAUACUAGGUUUUUUCUCCGCGCGAUGCGCGGAAAAGUGUUUUGAUAGUCGAUGUUUAAUUAUAAGUUUCAAAGUUUUUGUUUGAAAUGGAAGCAUUGUAUUUUUCAAAAUGUCUGAAAAUUAGUGAAUAUCGAGGUUACGCAAUUGUUUAAAAGCUAAAAGAGUAGCUAAGUAAGAUAAAUAAUGUAAGAAACAGAUUAAGUUUUUUGCAGAUCAGAAGUUGUGUUGAGGUUCAUAAAAAAGAAAUGAUCUGAAAUUGGUUAAGAAUAAGUUAGUUAGCAUAAAUUUAGGUAAAUACAAUAGUAGUGUUAUUUAUAUAAAAAAGUUCGUACCUGGCUUAGCUGGGAAAAAAACUCCGUGUAAGUCUCUUCUUUAUUGGAUUGUAUCAUCGCUUGGUUGCUAUGUCGGGCAUUGUAAAUCUAAGUAAACAAUUCGACUAUUUUGACAAAAGUAAUUGAAAGGUUUUGUGGAUAAUAAAGGAGGUCUAAAUAUUGGAAAUAUGAAUUACUAUAUAAAGUUUGAAAUUUAAAUCAUUUAAUAUAAUUUAAUUUUCAAGUUAUAUAGUCGUUGUAAAUUACUAUGAUUGAAUUUGAUUAUAGAUUUAAUAGUAAAUGAGUUUUUAUAUUCGUUAAAUAAGCCGAGUCCGGUCGGUUUAAAACCCGGAUUUGAGAAAAAACCGGUGAAACUGGCUAAAAACCGGUAAAACCGAUGACCUGGUUCAACUUCAAAACCCGGUUCAAUAGAAAUCAACAUAUAAUUAACGUAUUUUCAAUUUUUAUUAAAAUAUAAUAUUUCAUAAUUAAUUUUAAUUUUUACUAUUUAAUUAGUUUUCUCUUGAUUCUUUUUUAAGAAUUUUUUUUUAAAAAAUCUCUUUUUGAUUCUCAUAUUUUAUUCUCAUUUUUCUAUAUUCAUAAAAUUUCAGACUUUUAGUUGUAAAAAUAAAUAAAUAUGUAAUUUAAACGGUUAUUCAUUUUUUUUAAAUCAAUUUUAGUUGAUAUAGUAUUCACUUAUAUAUAUAUAACUAAACUUAAGGUUAUUGUUUAUUAUCUAAUUAAUAAAAGAGAACAUAGACAUAUUAUAUGUAGAACUACAUUUUAGGUCUAUAUAGUAUAAAUAUAUGAUUAUUUAGAUUUAUUUAUUUUUAAAUAGAAAAUCCGGUUCGACCGGUUGAACCGGUCCGACCACUUAACCAGUAGCUUACCGAGUCGGUAUCCGGUCCGGUUUUAAAAAUAUUAGUUUUUGGGUUUGUAAUAUUGUCUCAAUUACUUCGUCCAGCUCUUCUUUGUUAUAGGGUUUCAAAUUUCCUGAAGCCAUAACAUCUAACACACCAACAACUUGAGAAUUAAGCCCAUGUCUAUUAUCUGAUCUGCCUCAUCAAGAAUCAGAUCGUUGCACGGACUGACCACAUCAUACCGUAUCAAUCAAACAACCAGGAGUGGAAAUCACAAUAUUCACACCCUUGUGUUAUCAUCUUAAAACACAGUUCUUCAAUCGACUGACCACCCACUAUAGAAGGCACCCCAAUCCUAGAUACUUGGAAAACUUGAUAGUUUCCUCCCCAAUCUGAUGAGCAAGCUCCCGAGUAAGUUCUACAACCGCAGCGUAAGGUCCCCUCAGUUUCAUUAUCUUAGCUCAUAAGCGACAAUCUAGAUAUGUAAGCUAGCAUGGCCAAAAUAGGUAGCAGUCUUACCAGAACCGGUCUCUACCAUGAAGAGUACACCACAAUGUUGCAUUGAAAGUGGUAUAAGCUAGAUCUUGUAGUUUUCUUGUAAGAUCUCUCCACAGAUUUCAAAAGCGUAUGAUUGGCUCGGAUCCGAAUCUACAGAGAUAUCCUUGCAAAAAUAAAGAGAUGUAUGGUUUAAAACAUAACUGGUUGGAUCUACUUAAAACUCUGGUUUUCACAUACCUUGUCAACAUAUGAUGAAGAUUAUUUGAUCUAUAUCUACCUUUUGGCCUUACCUGCAAUGUGUGAAUCCAUAGCGAUAAUGCCGAGUUGAGCACCGAUGUAGGUUAGAAGCAGAAGAUUUUUCAGAGCUAAAUAUAGACAAAACAGGGCAGUGGAGAUGAAGUAACUUUCAAGCAAAGAAUUGAAGGAGGAAGAAAGUAGUUAAUUGUCGACGUGACCGAGAGGGAUAACUGUCGCAAUGCAUGAUUUAUAUCUUUAACCGACCUGUGGAAUAAGCUCUUCGCAGUUUCGAAAAAUCAGUUCGUUGAAGCUCUUUCAACAGCAGGCCAAAUUAAAGUGUUGCUCCCUCACUGCUAAUUCUUUGCAUGAUUUCUCAGAAGGUCAACUUUGUUUUCUUCAUUGAGCCUGCCACAUAAUAACAUUAAAACCCAAAAAAACCGAGCAUGAGAGAUUAAGCUAUUUAAAGUCGUUAUGAUAGAAACAUACAUGAAAACUAAAGCAAAAGUUUGAUGUAACUUGUUCAUAGUGGUAUGUAAUUGUAAACUAAAGCAAAAAUGAUAACUAUCUAAUAUCUACUGGUUAUAGUGAUUUCAUAACUGGCCUUCACUACUCACUCUAGUUUCAUACUAAAGAGAAAACAUUUGAGAUUUAUUAAACACGAUACACAUAACCCAGUGGCACAACAACACGAAGGCUAAGUGAUGGUACAACUGAGAGAGACUACCUGAGAAAUUAUCUUUGUAUGCAACUGCUUUCUCAAGAUAGGCACCAUUGAAGGUUGAACAACUGAAAUCAGAAUCUAUCAGAAUCUAUUACCUAAGGAAUAAAACAAAGUCUUGUUUUAUCAGUUUGAUGGUUUGUUGAUUAAGUUGUUAUUAGUUUAAACUGUGAAAACGUAAAUCACUAAAACAAAAGAUCAAAACUUUGAACUUUGUUUAUGCUGAUCCCAAGCUGCAUCAAGAACGAUACUUAAUAUUUUACCUGAAAUUUCAUUGGCAUGAACUGUUUUGCUGCAAAACAAACAAUGUUCAUCUCAGCUAAAUAAACAAAUGAAACUGCUUCAAAAAAUUAACGCAAAACUUCACUACUUACAUUUAGAGAAUUGUCCAUGAAACCAGAAAAGAGUCUGCUAGCUCCAACAUAUAAAGAGACUCUGUAAGUGAAGUGACGCAGCCGUAUGAUAACGUAGUGGCAGUAUUGUAUCUCCAAGCCAAAGUAAAGCCAUCCUGCACAUAGAGAAUGAUAUGUCCCUAUAAGAACUUGUUACUUACCUAAAACCCAAUAGACCUGUAAAAUUCUAUAACACAGAUUUGUUUUCCCAAUCAAAAAGAUAAUCUAUGAUAAUUUUGAAGGAGAAAAACAAAGAUGAAGGAUAGGAAUAAUGGCAAAACACAAUUAUACUCGGUUUAAGAAAUAUAUUACACAGUCAUUUAAACAAAUUUAUGUACUCAUAUUCACCUGAAGAUUAGUUAGUAAGUUUUAUGUCAUCAGUCAUAAAGAUUUUGUGAAGAGAGAUGUUUACCAGCUUGCAAAGAAAGAGUAUUUUCGUUUCACUGGUUUGUCCAUCUUUACAAUUUUUUACGCUCCUCUCAGUGAUGCUCACGCAUGGGAUCAAGCUCUGAUAGGAUAGAGAUUAGAAUCCGGUUAAUAUACUACUCAAGAGAAGAGAGGCUAGAGUAAACGGUUUAUACCUUGAGAUGAUCAGAGGCGUUGCAGGGAUUUCGCGUUAAAAUAAUUAGCAGAACCACCGAACAGAUCUAAUUCAUCGUCAGUGGAGCUAUCAUUGUUUACACUGAGGCAACUGCAGCGUUGCUUCCAUGUUUGCCUUGCCUCUCGGUGUUCUCCUCUAUGACAUCCUGGACUAAACAAACGGAAAGAACAGAGCGGAGGGGGCCUUUCCUGUUGAUUACUCAGUUUGGAUUGUCAUUGAUUGCUCUAAUAACUUUUUUCCGUGAAUUUGGUGAAGGGGAGAAGCAAGAGAGAUGAGGAAUAUAUAAGGUGGGGAGGUGAUUGGAAGGAAAUCGAUUCAUGCCUUUAGGAUUAUUUUUUUGAGGAACAUAUACGUUGAAUUGGCCAAAAAAAAAAUAUGUGUUGAAGAGGAGAACAUGAAGCUGUAGAAACGAUUGAAUUUCUCAGAUGAGUUUGAAGAAGACAAAGGCUAAACGAUUGAAUCGCAUAAAAAGUGGGCCAGAUGAUGGUCUAAUGAAUUACAAAGUGGUCACGUUGAAACUAAAAGCCUGUUUUGGAGAUAGUUGAUGAUGUGGCUAUUUGAUGUAUUUUGAUUUGCUGAAUUUAAAUGUAUACGUGGAUGCCUUAAGCAUUGAGCUUAUUUAACUUUUAGUAUAGUAUAGAUUGGUUAUUUCAACAAGUAGGAAAAGGAAUACCACAAAACCCUAAGGCCAAGUGAGCUUCAGGGGAAGUAGCGAACUUUCUUAAAGUUGGAUUCUUUAUGAAAUCACAAUAACAUGGUUGCUGUGCUUUCAGUGUUCCGCAACACUGUGCAGAUGGCUUAGUUUUAUCAAAUAAUUCUGGCCAGCAUCCUGUGAGAUCAAUCGUAGUGCAUGGUGGUUUAGUAGAUUCUACGACCACUCUUGAUUCGAUCUGAGGCGGAGAUGAUACGAGGACUACGACAAAGGCGAUGAAUACUAAUAGUGUUGUACUCUUCAUGUCUUGUGACUUUCUAUCCACUUCCGAUGCUAUUCUUUUUAUUUUUUUUCUUCUCUAUCGUAAAGAGUACACUUUGAGAUUCUGAGUUGUGUUUAACUAGGGAUGAUGACAUUAUUAUAUAUAGAUAUGAACUUGUAACUGACAAAACACAUGUCAGAUUUUGUAAUGUUGUGGAUUCUGUCUCAAUAUUUUUUUGAUAAGAGAAAAGAAAUUAAAAAAAUUAGUAUCAAAAUUAAUGAUGGAAACGAGAUCUUCUUACUAAGAAAACCUUAGAAUAUCCUCAUUGUUCUGUCAACAAAGAUAUCUAGUAAAUAUCAUACUAAUAGUUUUAAUUUAAUUUUGUUAAUAAUUAAAUUUUAAUCCAUAAAAUAAAACUCAAGUUACUGAACUAAUAAUGAAAUUACAUGUGUUAAAUGGGUAUCUUAUUUUUUGUUGGGUCUCUCAUAGGGCUGUUCAAUAUGGUAAAACCGAACCGUACCGAACCGAACCGAACCGAAAUAGACAAUAUGGUUUGGUUUUGGUAUAUACCAUAUAAACCGAAUGGAUAUAAUUUUAUAAAAACCGUAGGAUUUGGAUAUGGUUUGGUAUAUAACCGAUUAAACCGAAUAAACCGAACAAAACCGAUUAAAAGUAGAAACAUGUAAAUAUGUAUCUAUUUUAUAACAAUACAUGAAAAUCUAUUUGUUACAUAAGUUAAAUUUGUGUUAAUAACUAUUAUAAUUUUAUAGUAAUAAAAAACCUUAAUUUGUAAAACACUUGAACUAUAACUAAAUAACAAUACAUCGCAAUUCACAUUUUAUUUUCUAAGUCUUUUUUUUAUCUUUUUGAUUUAUUUUAGUCUUCACUAAAUUAAUAUGAAGAUUAUAAGUUUGAUAGACAAUAAUUAAUGGAAAAUUUUCAAUUGAAAAUGCAUGAUUUUAAUGAACACUAAAUAUGGAAGAGUGGAAAAACUUUUAUUUCAUGUUUCUGUUUUGUUUCAUAUUUUUAUUUUCAAAAUUUCAAGCUUUGAUUUUAGUUAUAGAUUUGAUUAUUUUAUUUGAUGGUAGAAGUAUUUUUACUUUUUUGUUCAUUUAUUUGAACAGGUAAUAUAUUUUUAAUAAAUGACUGUGUUGACAAUAUGACUCUAAAAUUCAUAUAAUAUGAUCUCAAACAAAAUAAUUAUGUUUUUUGGUAUAAAACCGAAUAAACCAAAAACCGACGGUAUAUAAACCGAACCGAACCGAAGUAAAUAUGGAUUUAGAAUAGUAGUUAUAUUUUACUAAUCGAAAUACCGAAAACCGAAAAAAACCGAACCGAAACCGAACCGAUAUCCGGAUUGAACACCCCUAGUCUCUCAUAUGAAAUUACAUUCCUCAUUUCCUUUUUGUUUUUCUUUUUGUUGAAAAACUCAUCUAAAAGAUUUACAAUGAGGAUAUUGUUGCCUUCACAGUCGUCACUCCUAACCAAAUAAAUUACAUUUGUAAAUGAACUUUAAUUUUAUAUUUAUACUAGUCACAACAAAAUCUCCCAGGAAAUAUUUUAAACUAAAUUCUACAUUGUAAACAAUUCAGUUAAACAUUUUCACUAAUAUUUGUUUUUGGUAAAAAUGUAAAGAUAUUAUUACCAAAUUUUAAGUUUUUGACAGAAAUUAUAAAGGUUAACGAGAAACAGAGAAAAACAAAUAAAAUUCUACACACAACUUCAAUCUAGUUAAAGCGGGACAGACAGAUACAACAACUACAACCGCUAUCCUGAGACUCGACCAAGUCCACACAACAGCUUGCCGCAAAAGAAUGAGCAAAGUUCAACCGAGAGUCAGAACCCUGGUAAUUUUGGCCUCUCUGGUGAUUUGCUCUUAAAGAUAAUGGCCCAUACGAGAACAGCUCGCCGAGGCUCUAUAGCACAAGCCGACAAAGACAGACAAGCAACGCAGGGGCCAAACACACCCGACGUAACCAAAACCGAGCAUUUAUUAGCCCGAAAACGGCCUAUGCAUGAUGCCACUCCGAACAAAACAGGGCUGCAACCUCUGUACUCUCCAGACCGAGCUCAACCUGCACACAAUUGUCACGCACACCACCAUAAAGAGUUCAAACAAACCCACGUGAUGUUGGGAUGUGAAGGAAGACCGAGCGUUAGGAAGUGGUAGUCAAUGACCCGAGAACCACCACUCGCUCAUCGUCGCCAAGAAUCGACGAACUAAAAUUGGAGACGCUAGAGCUGAACUUGCCACAGCAAGAAACGGGAUUUGAAAACAGAGCACAAAUCAUCCGGAGGAGGGACCGUGAAGAGGAAGGCCGAUGGUGAGGAAGUAAUGCGAGAGGCCACUCAAGCGGCAUAGACGGCCGCUCUUUAAACCUCCUACAGGACCUACGCGAGCUGGCCACAUAGCUCAGACACUACCCCACCUGUGCUGAAGCUCACGAACUCGCCGCCGUGGUACAGAAACCACACCAUGCUAAGUAGGAGAACACUCAGGUCCAAGAACCGACGAGAGUAUAAUUUCACUAAUAUAUUUACAACUAAUAUAUCCAUUUUUAGUCUUGGAUAUUAUUUUAUCCUAGUAUUUCAAUAUUCAAUAAUCUUUUUUUUAUAUUAUUUGGGAGUAUCCGAAUCUGAACUCAACUAAUUCUCUGGAGGCUGGUCUAUCGGCGACAGACAAACCCAGAAUUCUACAAUAGAAUUAAAUAUCCACACCAGUCUGGUCAUAAUGAUAGGUAAAUCUGCAUGGUAUGUUUCAAAUCCUGGAAAUUUAACACUUCUCUAAGUCCACCGAACCAUCCGACCACACUCACGUCGUUAAUAUAUUCAAUAAUCUUUUCUCAUAGUUUAUAUCAAUACUAGUGUUUGAUCCCGUACUACGUACGGGAAACAAUCUUAAUUUUUUAUAAAUUCAACAUAUAUUUUGAACGUGUAUUGUAUUGACAAUACACUUUGGGUUAAAAAUAUAUUAACUCCACGUAUAUUGUCGUACCACUUUUAUUGGGUGUCAAGAGAUACCGAAGAGUGUUAAUUUAUAUUUACAUAAAACAUAAAUUAUGGAUAAUAUAUCGAGAAAAAUCAUAACAAUUACCUCAAUUGCGUCCCAGCAGCACCACCGAUAUGUCAUCUUCACAUUUCUUAAGGGAAACAUAAGAUGUCUUUCUUUUGCCACAUGGCUAUAAAUCUAUGAAAAAACAAUAACAAUGAAACAACCGAAAUAAAAGUGGUAAAACAAUUACUUUAGUAUUUCUACACAUGGUCUCAUUUCUUAACUCUAUUUGUGCGACCUUGUUGUUUCUUCGUCUUCAUAUAAUGUUUAAUAGUAUUACAUUCUAAAUUCGAAAACACUAUUUUGAGUCAAAUUUAAGUUAGAGUAUUAAAUCUGAAGAUAGAUAUAAAUAGUUCUGAAUGAAAAUAAGUUUAGAUAUAUUUAUGUUUUAGCUUUCCAUAAGGUAUCAAAAAGAAAUUUAACUUCUUAUUAAUAUAUCAUAACAAAUCCAUAAAAGAUAGUGAAAUUUUUAUUUAGAUAUUGACAAACUAUAAAACAUAAAAUAUGCAAUUUCUUUGUACUUAUAAGGGAUAUAAUAAAUUUGUUUGUCAAAAUAAAAUAACUGGGAUUAAUUUCAGAACUUGGUGAUAUACAAAUUAAAAUCACAUUGACAUUUGUUCCGUUUUUGUUUUCUAUGUACAUGUUACAGAACUAAUUAGCUUUAUCAUCCACACUUUUAUAAACUUACUUUUUUUUGUCUAAAUACAAACUUACUUCUUCUACUAAAACCCAUAAAUAUACAUAUUGUACCAAGGAAAAUAUAACAACUUUCAUUAUCCAUAAAUUUACUUGAACAAUUGACCUUAAUCAUGUUCGGUAGUUCCCACCACAGCACCAAAAACUAUAUUCACGUUCCUCAGUGGUAAUAUGGCCCAGGUUUUCUUUUUCUCUAUAACCAUUAUAAACCUAAUUUUUUGGAGAGGAAGCUUUAAAACACCAAAACAAAUUCUGGUAAGCUGAAAAAAUUGUCAAAUACUCACGUUAGUAUUUCAAAUCGAGUUAAGGUCUGGUGUUUGGAAUCUCUGUAUACACAUCUAAAUCUGUUGUCCCUUGGUCUUCUUAAGCAUAAACCAAUGAAAGAAACACAUAUUUGUAAAUAGUCAAAUCCUUUUUGUCAAAGAAAGAGAAAGAAGUAAUCUACAUCCAAUAUACGUUAUAUAAUAUAGCCAUAUAUACUUACUAUUACCUUGACAAUGCUUUUGAUUUCCCAUUUUUCUGGAAGAGCUAAGCUCUGAAUCAGGAGAAAACUCCAUUGGUAUCUUUAUUGUGAAUCAUGCAAAAAAGAAGAAGAGAGCAUUAAGUUAAGAAGAAGAAAACAUUGAAUCAAUUACCAACAAAAAGGUAACAUUGAAUCUGGAUUUUUUUAGGAAAAAUAUAAACAUGUAACUGUUUUCUUUUGUUACAUUCAAAACCCAAAAGAAAAAAACAAUUCGAGGAGGAAGAUGAAACUGUGGCAAAAAAAAGAGCGAAUAGAAACAAAUUAGUUGACUGAAAGUUAUAUAUACAUACAUAAUAAUAAACAGUUUGAAACUGCCAUGAUAUAGAAGUUAUGAUGUUAUGUUCACUUUUGGACGUGGUGAUCUGAGAAAAUUCAGGGAUUUAGAUUUUGCAGUUUCAAAAAAGUAUGCAAGGGAUUUUGCGGUUGUUUUAUUUGUUUUUUAGGUUUACUCGAUUGCUGAAAAUUCUGAAUGUAUUUAAUUAAUUAUUUUGAAAACAAAAGGUUACCUUUUUUAGAAACUGUAAAUGACACAUGUCAAUCAGAGCAUUGUUAAAUGACUUGUGUUAGUUUAAAUUUAAACUCCAGAAAAAUAGGAGAUGCAAAGAAAAAUUCAUAAAAAAUUGCUUUACCUGAUUGGGUCGUAAAAGGUUGGUUAUUUGUCUUAUUUUCAAACUUCCAUGUUUUGAUAACGUGUUUUACUUUUUUGUAUUUUUCAAUUUUUUUUUUUUUUAAAUAGAUUUUCCACAUGUCAAAUUUAGAUUGGUGAUGCGACUUGCGCUUUAGUAUAUAAAAGAUACGAUAUCGAGUAUGAUAAUAUGAGGGAAACAUCUUCAUUGAUUAUUUUAAGUUGAGCUCAUAGUGUCUCUCUGAAAUGCUUCAAGCACUCUUUACAUAUGAUUUAUUAAAACUUACAUGGAAAAACCAUGAUAAAUGACAUUAUGAAUUUAUAAUCAUCAUCAUUCUUGCAUAAAAAUAUUGACCAUUAUUUAAUAUUAUUAUUUUUAAUAAUUAUCUUGGUUACUUCAACAUGCAGGAUGAAGAACCACAAGACGCUAGGGCCAUGUGAGCUUGUGGGGAAGUAGCGAAGUGUUUUAAAGCUGGAUCCUUUAUAAAAUCACACUAAAACAUGGUUGUUGUGCUUUCAGUGUUCGGCAACAUUGUGGCGAUAUUUAUCUCCUAAGACUAUAGCUAGAAAACAUCAUAUGAUAUCAAUCUCGGUGCAAGGCGGUUUUGUAGAUUUUACGCCCACUCUUGAUUUGAUCGCAGCUGGAGAUAGCACGACGAUUACAACAACGGCGAUGAGUACUAUUAGUUAUGUACACUUCAUGUCUUGUGACUUUGUCUCUUUGAUGCAUGUCUUCCAACAAUCGGUGGUCAACAUAAUUAAGUAAGAGAAGCACCCAAUAAAAUUUCAUCAAACUAUUUCUUUAGGUUCGUUACUGAAUAUCACAUUAAAGAACAUAAGUUUGUUUAUUCCAUUUAAUAACUAAGGUUUUAUUUUUAUUUUAAACGUUAUAUAUGAUUUAUUUAAAAUAUUGCAAAGAAUUGACAUACUAUAAUGAAUUUCCAAUCAUCAUCACUCUUACAUAACAUAAUUGUUCUUCACCAUAUAAUACUUUUGUUAAUUAUCUUGGAUUUCAACAAGUAGGAUAAGGAAUACCACAAGACGCUAGAGCCGCAUGACCUUGAGGGGAAGUAAUAUAUGGCUUUAAACCUGCAUUCUUUAUGAAAUCACAAUAACAUGGUUGUUGUACAUUCAGAUUCCGACAACAUUCUGGCGAUAGUGGUGCUCCAUAGAGUAUGGCUGGAACGCAUCCUGUGAUAUCAAUAGUGGUGCAAGGUGAAUUAGAUUGAAUAAGUUGGGAAUUGAUCGGAGCCGCCGUUGAUGAAAAGAGGACAACAACAACAAACGCGAUGGAUGCUAGUGUUGUAAACUUCAUGAUGCCUUGUGACUUUCUCUCCACUUACAAUAUUGAUCUUUGUUUUUGUUUUUAUAUUCUAAAAUGUAUUUGAUAUUUUGAGUGGGAUGGUGAAGUUAUUGAGUAGCACCACAACUGCAAUGCAAACAAAAUAAAGUCAAUGUUUCAUUGGUUUUCUAUAAUAGUUCAUGACCAGAAAAGAAAAUUGUUUGACCCAAAAAAAAAGAAAAGAAAGUGUAUGGAAAUAUAUGAUAUGAAGAUUUGAUACAUUUGCAUAGGGGUGAGCAUUUUACCCGAUAUCCGAACCCGUAUCGGAAUCCGAUCCGAAAAACCCGAACCAAAAUCUGAACCGAAGUGUAAAAUACUAGAACAGAUAUUGAAUUAGGAGAGAUUGAAUAUCUGAACCCGAACGGAUAAUAUCCGAAUCCGAAUAGCUAUGUGAAGAUAACCGAACAUAUGAAUACUUAACCCUAUAUUUCUAUUUUACUUUUCUAAUUUUAUUCAAAAUAUUUAUAUUGAUACUGCACAUGGCUCCAAAUCAGAUAAUACACAUAAUUAUGGACAAAAUCAGUUGCUAUGCAAUUAAAAUACAUAUCAAGCUCUUGUUUUCUAUAUUAACAAAAAUUGCAUCCAAAAUUUUAAAAUAACAAUUAAAUUAGUGUGUUUCUAUUUUAAAAGUUUUAUCUUCAAAACAUAUUAAUAGUUUAAUCUAUUAAAACUUAGAAAAUCAGUUAAGUUAAAAAUACAUAUUUUAAAUACAAAAAUCUUAAACAACGAAGAAUUUAUUUUUUUCCUUCAUAAUCUAAAUAUUCGAAGACCCGAAAUAACCGAACCUGAACUUAAAAUACUCGAACUCAACCCAAAAUGUAGAAAUACCCAAACGAGUUUUAUAUUUCUAUACUGAAAUACCCAAAAAUCUGAAAUAUCUGACCCUAACUUGAACAUGUAUCCAAACGCCUAUCCCUACAUUUGCAGAUAGAUUUGAUACAUAUCCAAGUGAAAUAAUUGAAAAUAUUCAUAACUGAAAACAUAGCAAAAAGAAUUAGGCUUGUGGCUAAGAAAAAGAAAAGAAAAAGAAAAAAAGACAUUAUAAAAAUGGUCAAACGAAGUUUGUAGCCACGAUUUAAGAAUCUGAGAGUAUUGUGAACAUCUAAGUUUUAUGCACACAUGACCAAACCUUAGAAACCAUCAAAAAUGGAAAAAAAGAUAGUUACUAUUACAGUAGAGUUUAACUUGAAUCCAUGUAUAUAAUAGUAACCCGGCAAAGUAAACACUGCACCCACAUCUUACACUAUCUUCUCUACUAUUACAAACCGUGGAAACAAAUGUCUUUAACAAAUGGUUAAAAGCUCUCAGAUCACACGGAGCUCGGUAAGAAAGGCUGCGCAUAGAUCCAAGAAGAGAAACUGAGGACCGUUAACUCUUUGUAUAUCCAGCAAGUUCUUCUCUUCCCGAGCUUUGUACAGCUGUUUUAAAAUUCAAAGUAGCACAGAAAAAUUGUGGGGAGUGGGUGUAAUGAUGACAUAUGUGAGCAUUGUUACUGUGAAACAGUUGGUUCAAGUUUUAUGGUCUAGUCUCUGUCCUAACUGGUUUAGUUUUGGUGAUACAUGUGCACAUUGUGUGUGAGUUUGUAGUUACCUGACGUUCAAAUUUGAUGACAGUGGGUAAGAUCAUGGCACAGUCAUCCUCAAUGAUGCUGGAAUCAUCUCCGAAGUGCAGCUUAUUGUUGUGACAGUGGGUGAGAUUUUUCCAACCCACACAUAUAUAACAUAAAAAAACAACAGUACUGAGCAAAGAAAGUUUAGGUAAAACAACAACAACAACUUAGGUGGGGAUUUCGCUUUGGGCUUCAUCAUUACGAGCAUCUUCUUCUUUUGAAGAUGAUCCGAGCUGCUGCUUACUUGUACUGUGUCGGGCCCAAAAAAAAAAAACAAUUCAUCAAUAACCAUCUGAUUAGCUACUUGAUAUAUAUAUAUAUAUAUACACAGUGGAGAUAUGGUGACCGUGAAUCUAGUAUACCUUGAUGAAGACGACUUAGGCAUUGUGGUGUUGGUUGUGGUAACAUCAGACCACUUGAGGAGCCUUCUCUGUUAUAACAAUAUAUAAGCUGAAAUCAAAUCAACCAAAAUAACAAAAGCCUAGAGAUUGACAUAAAUUUAUCGAUAAGGAAUAUUAUUUGGAAAGAAAGUAAAAAAAAUAACCUUCAACUUGGCAGGAUCAUUGCGCCGGCUCGAGCGACUAGGAGGAGGAAACAACACUGCCUUACGCGAAUUACUUAAACUCCUACUGAGAACAAAACAAUUACCGACUGGUUUCCGCAUAGCAACACUUUUGUGCUGGAAGGAAACCCUAGCGACGGUAUAUAUAUGCCCGUAAUUUGGGAUUAAAGCAAGCUUUAUAAUCUUCAACCCCUGGUCCGGCCUAUACUAUUAUUACCCAAACUACAUUUUCUCUGACUUGUCUUUGAACCGGCAAACCGGUUUACAUCAAUAAUUUAGUUUUUUUCUUGCAAAUAAGAGCAAGUCCAACGAGAAGUUCUAAGAGCACCUGCAACGCGGGUUCGUAAUGAAUCCUUAGCACGAUUAUUUAGGCAAAUGACAUAUAAAUAAUAAAAAAAAAAUUUCGUAACCGAAGGAUUGAUCCUUAAUUAAGGCGUCUAAGGAUCAAAUCCUUAAGGACGUGGCAAGGCGUGAGUGGUCCGGCUGGGAGUUGUGUUUCGCGUGUGGAAAAUUUUUUUUACUCUCUUUCUCCAUCACGAAAAAAAGCUCUCUCGAAGGCGAUUCGGCGAUUAUGAAACCAUGUCGUCGUCUCUUCUUCUCUCUGGCUCUACAGUAUCUUCUUCGUUCAUCGCUGCAUCGAAGCUGUAACAUCUCUCUCUAUCUCCUUCGUCUGCCUUCAUUUCACCUUCUUUCGGCUUAUCCAAUUUCAAAUUCUAGGGUUUGUUCGUAUACUUGUUCCAUAAUCGAAUCUUAAGAGCUUAUGAAUUUGUUUAUGAUUACAGUUCUCUCUUACGGAAUCCAAAUCAGUCACUGUCACUAUCUCGGAACCUUUUGAGAAGUUUCAAACCCAUUAAGUGCUCCUCCGCUGAUUCUCCAUACGGAGGUUAUUAUUAUCAUCUCCCCUUCCUCUCUUUAAAGUUUCAAUCUUUACUCUGUUUUUUUAUUAACUCAUGUAAAUCGAAUUAUCCUUUUUUUGUGUGUAGGCAACGUCCUCACGUUCCCUCUAACCAGGGUCUGGGACCCGUACAAGCGUCUAGGGAUUAGCCCCUACGCCUCCGAGGAAGAGAUCUGGGCCUCCUGGUAAACUUCUGCGUAUAUUUCCUUAAUGAGAAGACAAAGAGCUUGGGGAGAGCUUGCCUAAUCGGGUAAACUCCUGGUGCUAUUUGAAAACUAGCUGAAACGAGAACUUGGAUUGUUUUUUUUUUUCCUUUCAAUUAUUGGGGUUUGGUUAUUAUGAUUGCAGGUUUGGUGCAUUAACAGUGGGGUGGUUCUGCGGUUCGCUAGUCAUUCCCAUGAUUCCGACGGCUUUCAUUAACCCGUGGACACUGGAGCUUCUAACGUCACUGGUUGCUUAUGUGUUUUUGUUUCUUUCUUGUACUUUCCUUAAGUAGGUUGCAUUUUCUCUAUUUCAGGUGAAAUACAAGACCAUGUGUACAAGACCAAAGUCACGGGUACUUUGUUUGUUUUAGCUUUGUAUUUCUUGCCUUUAUAAGUCUGUUUGUAGACUCGGCUAAGAGCUAUUUCAUUUGCUCUUGUUGUACUCAAAACUGGUUAUGAUGAUAUUUUAAUUUCAAGCAUCUGCGUUUCAUCAACCCUUGCCUUCAUCUACUUUGCUUUGGCUUUAGGUAUGCUCACUGAUCUCAUAGAUGAUAAGAGUUAAUGAUGUACUUCGGUUUGGCUUUAGGUGACUGAUAUGUAUGCACUAGAAACUUAUUUGAUUCGUUCAUUUCUGUUUUCGGUCAUGUGAUUAGCUAGAUGUUUGCAAAUUUCAUAAUUUUUAAUUUCUAAGAUUCAAUUAAAAAAAAAAUCUAAUGACUCCAUAAUGGAUAACACCAUUGAACAUACAAUUAGGAUUAGUUCUUAACUAUUCAAAAAAAAACUACUAUUAUAUUGCUAAGGACUCCAAUGGUGGGUAACACCAUUGGAGAUACUCUAAGGAGAAUAUGUCUUAUAUAAAAAAAAUCGGUAAAAUAUUAAAAAGAGUUGAGAGAAGAAAGAAGAAAGAAGAGUUGUUUGCAAAGAGGUGCAGAGAAGUGUUUAGAACAGCAUUAUCCCUACCACUCUAUUAUGGAGUGCUUAAAUUUUUAUUUUUUUUAGUUUUUCUGGAUUUUAAAAAAAAAUUAAUAAAUAAACUAAUUGUAGGUCGUCACGUAUCAGUAGGACCCGUAAACUAGGCAAACACUGACGAUUAAAUAGGCUGCAGAAGCAAUGGUGUUUAGUUUUUUGUGGGACCCACUCACUAUUAUAUUAACUUUCUUUUAAGCUCCCCUAUUUAGCUCUUCCGUUAAUGUUGCUCUUAGAUACUAAGUUCUACAUCUGUCGUCUGUUUGUUGAAUUUUGUAUUUAUAGAAAAUUAAAAUAUAAUUUUUUUAUUAAAAUAUUAAUUCUUUUAUUUUUUUAGAACCUUUGGCAGGUUUUUACCGCUGGGGCUGCCCUAACAAUUUCCCAAGCUCUUCUUCAUUUAGCGAUGAGAACACCGAACGCAUCUGUUGGAUGUGAUCAAAUCUUCAUCUUGUCUUAUUAGAUUCGAAGAAUCGUAUAUCAUAUAGUUAAGUAACUAAUUUAUAUAUAUACACUAAACUAUUCGUAUCAGUUUAUCACACACCAAAGAGAUACAUACACAUAGUGGGUUCUCUCUUAGAUGUCAGACUCUGAUGUUAGUUUAUGUACUAGUUUGAGGAAAGCGUGAGGUUGGAAGCACUUUAGUAUAGACUAGUGUGUUUAAGGAAAGCGUGAGAAUGAGUUUAUGUACUAGUUUGAGUACCAUUUGCUACUUGCUAGGUUGUAGAGUUGAAACCGAAAUGGGUUUUUAGACUAAUGUAGACUAGUGUGGUUAAGGAAUAAGGAAAGCGUGAUUGUUUAAUGCUUAGUGCGUUUGUACUGCUGAUUGUUUAUGAUACUGGUUCUUAUAAUAAAUCACUUGUUUUGUAGGGUUUAUGGAUUUGGUGGAAGAUGUCAUGAAGGAGAACUUAUGUGUAUUGCUUUCUAUGAACUUAUGUAUGCAAUUAUGUAUGGAGUUAUGAUGUUUUGAACUUAUGGUAUAAAAUUAUGCUAUUUAUGUGGUAUUUGAAUGAAUUUUAUAUUGUUGUACUUGUGGAUUUAUGAAUGAAUUUUAAUCUUAUGAACUUAUAUUUGUAUUUAUAGGUCUAUAGAUUAAAAUUCAAAAUUUUCAUAAAUGGUCAUUAAUGGGUCCCAUGACAGCCCAUAUAAAUAUGGAUUUUGAUGGAAUGGUCCUUAAUGGACGUGGUCAAUUUCUGUCCACAAACUAUAAAUGGACAAACGGAUAUGGGCAAAUGGACAUGGACUUUCCCAUCUGACAGCUCUACGUAUCACACACCAAAGAGAUACAUACACAUAGUGGGUUCUUUAAACACAUUCCCUAACUACACAUGCUGACAUGCAUCAUGCACGUAUGCGUUUAACCACGAGCAGUUACCAAAUACUUAACUUGGGCCUUUAGCGUCCGGUCCAUGUGCGUGUAAACACACAACAAUUUUGCCGUUUAAACUUUGCUAGUAAGAGAUGCGUAAAAGUCCCACAUCGAUUACGUUUAAAGGGAAGAACUCGCGAAACCUUCUCCUCCUGUAGUGAAACCUGAGGAUGGCGAAGGGAAAACACCAAAAAAAUCGAGUUAGCACUUAGGAGGUCUUAAGAGUAGUAGCAAUAGAUACCGUUAUAUGGUUUUGAAGUUUCACUGCGCAUGUGCAGGGUUUCGUCGUGAAAAAGAAAAGGAAAAGAAUAGGAUUGGAACCACUGUCCUACAUGAGUAAAAAAAGGUGAAAAUGUCAGUACAAAACAUAAAGGUGGAACUCGGGCUUGAUUAGCAUUAUAUGUUGGAAAGCUAUCUACUUGAGCAAAAGAAAAAAUACAUACUGUUGUCUCUUGAAACUCGGAUUCAAGAUAGCCACUUGGAACCGGUUGUCCAGUAACAAGUAGUAUGUAACAGUAGCCUGAAACGAAGCAGCAAGUGGCUUUUAAAUAACUAUUGGAAACUAGUAUUUAAAAGCAUAACAGACAGAAACUACUACAUACCUCAUUUUGUACUCUGUUGCGAAGAGAUUCCAUAACCUGGUUUCUAUCAAAUCCCAUGUUAACCACUUCUUGAACUAUAUCUCCUCGUUGAUCUGCCAUAAUAUAAGAGAAGUUUGUUUACUAUCACCGCAAGUGAAUCUUUUGAUGUUCCAAAUGGUGCUUGAAGACCAACCUUUUUGGCCUGCUCUACUGUAUCUGGUGGAGCAACAGCAAGAUAACGAGGAAGAUGAGUCUGGAACCAACGUGUAAAUACCACCCUAGAGAGAAAAAUAACACCUCAGUUAAUUACUUCCCAUUUUUUUUUCCUUUUUUCCACUGACUACUCGAUUUAGGCAGCAAGAGUGAAGAAAUCCGAUGGCAUUGACUAUCUUCUUCUUCCUCGUUGUGAUUCAGAUUCUUAUUAUAAUUCUUGGUAGAAUUCAAAGCAAAAUGUACCACAAACGAUUUUAAAAGAUCAAGGAGUGGUUUCUCUUUAUUUAUUGAAACAUUAUACGGAAUAAACAAGAUCCAUAUGACAACAUAAUGAACUUCCAAUGAACAUCAUUUUUACAUAUAAUUUCUGUUUAUCAUCAAGUAUUACUAUAAUAAUCAUCUUUGGUUACUUCAACAAGUAGGAUAAGGAAUACCACAAAACCCUAAGGCCAAGUGAGCUUCCCGGGAAGUAGCGAACUUUUUUAAAGCUGGAUUCUUAAUGAAAUCGCAAUAACAUGGUUGUUGUGCUUUCAGUGUUCCGCAACACUGUGCAGAUGGCUUAGUUCCAUCAAAUAAUUCUGGCCAACAUCCUGUGAGAUCAAUCUUAGUGCAUGGUGGUUUUGUAGAUUCUACGACCACUCUUGAUUCGAUCUGAGGAGGAGAUGACACGAGGCCUACUACUACAAAGACGAUGAAUACUACUAGUGUUGUACUCUUCAUGUUUUGUCAAUUUCUAUCCACUUCCGAUGCUAUUCUUUUUAUUUUUUUUCUUCUCUAUCGUAAAGAGUACACUUUGAGAUUCUGAGUUGUGUUUAACUAGAGAUGAUGACACGAGGAUUACAAUUAACAACAACGGCGAUGAGUACUAUUAGUUCUGUACACUUCAUAUCUUGUGACUUUCUCUCUAUCUCAUGCCAUGUCUUCCAACAAUCGGUGGUCAGCAUAAAUAAGUAAGAGAAGCCACCCAAUAAAAUUUCAUCAAACAAUUUCUUUAGGUUUGUUAUUGAAUAUCACAUUUAAAGAACAUAAGUUUGUUCUAUUCCAUUUAAUAACUAAGAUUUUUAUUUUUAUUUUAUUUUAAACGUUAUAAAUGAUUUACUUAAAACAUUUCACGGAAUUGUGCUAUAAUGAAUUUCCAAUCAUCAUCACUCUUACAUACAUAAUUGUCCUUCAUUAUAUAAUACUUUAUAUUAGUUAUCUAGGACUUCAACAAACAGGAAAAGGAAUACCACAAGACGCUAGAGCUGCGUGACCUUGAGGAGAAGUAAUGUAUGGUCUUAAACCUGCAUUAUUUAUGAAACCACAAUAACAUGGUUGUUGUACUUUCAGAUUCUGACAACAAUCUGGCGAUAGUUGUGCUCCAAAGAUUAUGGCUGGAACGCAUUCUGUGAUAUCAAUAGUGGUGCAAGGUGGUUUAGUAGAUAAAGAUUGAAAUUCGGAUUUGAUCGGAGCCGUUGAUGACAAGAGGACAACAACAAACGCGAUGGAUGCUAGUGUUGUAAACUUCAUGGUGGCUUGUGACCUUCUCUCCACUUACAAUGUUAAUCUUUGUUUUUGUUAUUCUAAAAUGUAUUUUGAGAUUUUGAGUAGGAUGGUGAAGUUAUUUAUGUAGCGCCAUAACUGCAAUGCAAAAUAAUAUAAAAACAAAGUCUAUGUUUCGUUGGUUUUCUGUAAUUAGUUAUGACCAGAAAAGAAAAUUGUUUGACCAAAAGAAAAGAAAAGGAAGUGUAUGGAAAUAUAUGAUAUGAAGAGAUUUGAUACAUUUGCAGAUUUGAUACAUAUCCAAAUGAAAUAAUUUGCAAAUAUCCAUAAUUGAAAAAAAUAGCAAAAAAAUAACUAGAAAUUAGAAUAUCAAAAUUAUUUUAUACAAAUUAGGAUAACAUUAUAAUGUAUUUUAACAAAAUUGAGCUUGGAUGGGUCUUAGAAGGAUAAAGACUUAUGUUCAGGCUUUGGUUGGUAUAAUACAUUAGAAGAAUUUGAAAGAUUGAUAGGAACAAGAAACACAAGAGACUGUCUCUCACUACGAUCCGCAAUAACAAUGUCAUCACUUAACAAAGCGUAGUCGAGAAAUGGUCUUUUGCCAUUGAAAUUGAAACUUUCACUUAGCAAUGGGAAAUAUGAAAACUCUCAGAAAAUUUAUGUGAUUUUGCAACAAUUUCUUCUUAACUGAUGAAGAUAGUUCACUUCAGUAUUACUAUACAACGUAGUAAUACGAGUAAUAUCAGCAGAACUUAUCGACAUAAUAAUACCAGUAAUAUCUGUAAAACCAUUUUGUCUUUUAAAACUUGAAGAAAAGUUUACUUUUGUAACUUACCUGGAAAAAAUAUAAAGACUAAAUGAAAGUUUUAGCACUCUUGAGAUAAAAAAAACACAUAUUUGUGAUUCAAAACAAGCGAAUAAUCUUGCUCGUAGUGUAAGGUGUCAACUACCUUAAUAUAUUAUGUUUACUAGGUUAAGAUCCGCACCUUGCGCGGAAUGAAUAUUAUAUAUAAAUUAUUUUUAAGUAUUAUAUAUUUUUUACAUAUUAUGAAAUAAUGAAUAAUUAAAAAUUUAAUAACUAUUACAUAUAUAAUUAAAUUAGUACAAAUACUUAAAUAAAUUUUAUUUAUCCAGACAAGCACUUUUUCUAUUUUAUAUGUUAUAAAAUUAAGUUUAAAUGAUAUUAACAUAGAUAUAUUAUUAAUAUCAUUGUUUUUAAGUUAAUAUCUAUGUUAAUAUCAUUUAACAUAUAUAGUACAUUUUUAAUAUUGACAUCUGUUAUCAUUUGACAUAUGGGUGGCUUCUCUUACUAUAUAUCAUAUAUAGUACAUUUUUAAUAUUGACAUCUGUUAAAAAAUAUUUUAUACUCAUAUUAUUUUUGAUCGUUUGUAUUUCUUUAUAACGAAAAUUUUAAAUCAAUGAUAACAAUAAAAAAAUUUAUGGGAUGUUUAAUAGUUAUAGUAAUUUAUAAUUUUAAAAAUAUUCAAUGCAAAAUUUAAAAUCUAAAUAUUAAGUUGUCAAUAAUUGUUCAAAAUGUUUAUAAAAAAAAUUCAAAUCAAAUUCUAAAUUAAAAUACUUAUAUAUUUUAUAUGGUAUAUAAUUUAUUUUUAAAAAAUAUUAAUAUGCAUAUAUAUUAAAUGAGACUUCCUACUUAUGUAAUUUCGUAAUCAUUUGUAUCUUGUUAUAACAUAAAUUUUAAGCCAUGGAUCACAAAAAUUUCAGUGUGAGAUUUUUAACAACUUUAGUCAUUUAUAUUCGUUUUUUAAAAUUCAAAAUAUAACAUAUACGAAAAAAAUUAAAUUUUUGUUAUAUAGUUAAUGUGGUUGUUUAAUUUAUUUUAAAAUGAAUUAAAAAUGAUAGAGAAUAUACUGAUUUUUAUCAAAUCUUUAUUAUUCAAAAUUAUUAAUUGUAAUAUAUACUUUAGUCACAUUAGGUAAUUAUGUGAUUUUUAUUCAAGGAAACAAUGAAGAACAUUUAUGAUUAAUUUAUGGUAAGUUUAAUAAAAAGCUUAUUAUAUAUUUAUAUGGACAAAAUAUUUUUCUAAAGAUUUUAAAAAUGAUCGUGGUGAUGACAUGUGGCUACAAAAAUAUGUUGUAAUAAUUAUCAUUUAGUAUAUAGGAGAUGUUUGACGAGAAAAAGAAUUGGGCUUGUGGCUAUAGUUGAGUUUUGACCUGUCCUUAACAAAAAAAAAAAGAAAAAAAAAGACAUUAUCAAAAUGGUAAAACGAGUUUGUAGCCAAGAGUUAAGAAUCUGAGUGUAUUGUGAACAUCUAAGUUUUAUGUACACAUGAUCAAACCUUAGAAACCAUCAAAAAUGGAAAAAAAGAUAAUUACUAUUACAAUAGAGUUUUAGCUUCGAAUCCAGGUAUAUAAUAGCAACCCGGCAGAGUAAACACUGCACCCACAUCUUACACUAUCUUCUCUACUAUUACAAACCGUGGAAACAAAUGUCUUGAACAAAUGGUUAAAAGCUCUCAGAUCACACGGAGCUUGGUAAGAAAGGCUGCACAUAGACCCAGGAAGAGAAACUGAGGACCGUUAACUCUCUGUAUAUCCAGCAAGUACUUCUCUUCCCGAGCUUUGUAUAGCUGUUUCAAAAUCCAAAGUAGCACAGAAAAAAAAAUGUGAGCAUUGUUACUAUGAAACAGUUGGUUCAUGCUAUGGAGAAGGGUCUAGUCUCUGUCUUAGCCGGUUUUCGUUUGGGUGAACUACUGAAAAUAUUACCAAGAAACCUAAACUGUAAUAAUGAAACCGAACUAGGAAGUUUUUUUUCCCCUGAGAAACUUGCUGAGUCAAUAACUAACUGAGAUGUGUGUGAGUGUGCAGUUACCUGAAGUUCAAAUUUGAUGACGGUGGGUGAGGUCAUGGCACAGUCAUCUUCAAUGAUGCUGGAAUCAUCUCCAAAGUGCAGCUGAUUGUUGUCCCUAGUAUUCAGACCAUCAGCAAAACAAGGAACCCAUCGGCAUUUCAUGUUGUAGUGACCAAUCUUCUUCCAACACACAUUGAGUUCUUGAAGAGCUUUCAGUACUUCGUUCAUGAUCUCACGAGGAUGCGCUUGGGACUGUUCAAAACACAACGGUAUCAGAACAAUUAUCAGUUUGGCUAUGUGCAGGUGAAGAGUACUCAUUCAUAAACAAGAUAACAUUUAUAAAAUCCCCAAAGUUCCAAAUAAUAUAAUGAUAACUCUAACAAGAUUCAGCAAUCAUGAACAAACCUGAAGUCCAAGAGCCCAUUUACAGUCACUUGGGACUUGUGAUCUUCCUCCCAAUCCGUACUGAUCCAUAGGUGAAGGAACCCAGUGGCCUACAGGUGAAGCAGCCGCUUCAGCUGAGCGCAUAGGAUUGGAACCACUGUCCUAGAUGAGUAAGAAAAGGUGAAAAUGUCAGUACAAAACAUAAAGGUGGAACUCGGGUUUGAUUAGCAUUAUAUGUUGGAAAGCUAUCUACUUGAGCAAAAGAAAAAACACAUACUGUUGUCUCUUGAAACUCGGAUUCAAGAUAGCCACUUGGAACACGGAACCGGUUGUCCAGUAACAAGUAGUACGUAACAGUAGCCUGAAACAAGCAGCAAGUGGCUUUUAAAUAACUAUUGGAAACUAGUAUUUAAAAGCAUAACAGACAGAAACUACUACAUACAUCGUUUUGUACUCUGUUGCUAAGAGAUUCCAUAACCUGGUUUCUGUCAAAUCCCAUGUUAACCACUUCUUGAACUAUCUCCUCGUUGAUCUGCCACAAUAUAAGAGAAGUUUGUUACUAUCACCUCAAGUAAACGUCUUGAUGUUCCAAAUGGUGCUGAAGAACAAACCUUUUUGGCCUGCUCUACAGUGUCUGGUGGAGCAACAGCAAGGUAACGAGGAAGAUGAGUCUGGAACCAACGGUGUUGACGGAUCUCAGGAAUGGUGAUUCGUUUCACUGGGUCAACUACAAGCAUCCUUGGGAUCAGGUCUCUAGCAUCAGGUGAUAAAUGACUUGGAAGAGUGUAAAUACCACCCUAGACAGAAAAUAACACAUAAAUUAAAUUACUUGACAUAAUAAUGAUGAAAAUAACACAGAAGUUAGAUUGUAGAGUACCUUAAUCUUCUUGAAAAGGUUGGGAAUGUUUUCAUCAUCAAAUGGAAGAGUACCACAGAGUAGAGCAUACAAUAUCACUCCGCAACUCCAUACAUCUACUUCAGGUCCAGCGUAUAAUUUUCCUGAUAUAACCUACAAGUAGUUUCAGAUAGAUACUAUAAUCCAAUGAAAGGAGUAUAUAACUAAAUAAGAAUACUAAUAAUAAACUAAACUGAAUACCUCAGGAGCAGCGUAGUUGGGGCUUCCACAGCUCGUUUUCAGAAAAUGACCAUCUCUCAUGACAUUACUCAGUCCAAAAUCUGCAAUCUUGAUAUUGCACCUCGAGUCCAACAGCAAAUUCUCAGGCUUGAGGUCUCUAUGGACAACCAUAUUGCGAUGGCAAUACUCCACACCAGAUAUUAUCUGCUCGGACAUGAGUCAAACUCAGAGAAAAGGACACUGGUUGUGGGAAAGAGAUGAACAAACAAAACCUGCUGGAAAAAGUUACGAGCCUCCUCCUCUUGUAACCUGCCUUUCUCUACAAUGUAAUCAAAGAGCUCUCCGGACUUGACAUACUCCAUAACAACGUAAAUGUCACUUAGGGUCUCUAUGACUUCAUACUGCCGAAUGAUAUGAUGAUGCAUAAACAAUCUCAGAAUUUUUAUCUCCCUCCUCACUAUAAGGAAGGAAGAAGCAGAGCAUUUAAUCAAAACAUAUACAGUAAAAUCAAGUAUUCUUUUUUUUUUUUUUUUUUUUUGUAAAUUAAUAAACUCUCGUGAUCCUAAACAUUAUUAAUCUAUAGAGUUUUUACUGUACAUAAUAACCUCCUUAUGCAUUCAGAUAUGUAAAGCAUGUGUAGAUCAAUAGUAACAAACUAUUCAAUCAUCAAAGGUUUGUUCAAGAAAGCUGUGAAGCAUGUGUUAUUAUUAUUACCUUUCUCUUCCAUGUCCAUGUUCUUGAUCUUGCGGCGAUUGAGGAUCUUGAUAGCAACCUUGUGGCCAGUGACGACGUGCUCAGCUAUUUUAACUUUGCCGAAAGAUCCGAUGCCAAGGGUUUUACCAAGCUUGUAGUUUGCUAGAAUGGAUUCAACUCCAUUGCCACCAAAUCUAUUUGAUGAAUGAUCCAUUUUCCCCUUCUGUCAACAAACAACAUUUUGUUAUAGUUAAAACUUGCUCCUCAAAAUCUACACCAUUAUCAAUCAACACGUAUUCCGUGAUACAGUCAAGACACUCAUCAAUUAGGUUUAAGCAGGAGAAAUUGAUCAAGUUUACAAACAUUUAUUUACCCUUUGUUUUCGAGCAGAUCCUCGAAUCGAAAUAGAAGUUGUUCAAAGAAAGAGCCAACUAAUAAAACUACACCGAGAGAGAGAUAUGAAAAGGUUAGUCUUACUGUGUAAUGGUAAAAUGUUGGUAAACUCAGAUUCCAACUCGUGUGUGUGUGACUCAGAGCUGAGUCAGUCCUUUGAUGGUGUGUUGAAUCAAGGAAACCAAUUAAUGCCAAUUUGAGUCUGUAAAUUGUUUACAGUGCACAAAAAAAAGGAAAUAAACUGUUUACUUUUUUUUUUAAUACAUUUCAGUUAUUAUUACGUUUUUUUUACUCAAGAAACAUUGUUUAUUUAUGAAUAAAUUUUAAUUUAUGUUUUAAAAUACUUCUAUGUUUAAGUCGUCAAAUAUGUACAUGUUUAUGUUAUUGGCAUGUCUCAGAAUUUCUUGAUUAACUGGGAAAAAGGAAGAAAUGUAUCAAAUACAAAACCAAAAAUUUCAAAACAAACAUGCAUUAAAACUUAAUGUGAGGAAGAAAUAGAAUUUAUUUAUAAUAAAAAAAUAGCAUUCGGUUAUUUUAAAAGAAUACAUUUUGAUGAUGUUUAGAAUUCAUCUAUUUUCUAAAAGUAUAUUGAUGGGUUAGACAAUCUUAACUCGUACACAAUAAUUUUUUUUAAUAUUUCAUUAUAAAAUAGUGUAAUUUUAUUAUAGAAUGAACCUAAAUCUAAUUGUAUAAUAUAAUUUAUUUAUUUUACAGUGAAAUAUAGAGAAAAUUAUUGUGUAGCAUUAGCUUUUGGAGAUAUUUUUUCCCAACAUGUCAUUGUUAUGAAGUUCACUUCAUUUGUCUGCUUUGCCGACAAAACCCAAAGACGCAUACAAAAUAUUGACAAAAACGAGGUUCAAUAAGAUUCACAAGUUAGAUGAAUAGAAACAUAACAGUCUAUGUAGUAUCCCUAUCUAUAAUAAUCCAAGCCUUUUGGAGUGAUUCAUGAAACACCUCAUCAAGUCUAUUAUUUGUAUACUAUUACAUAUCUCCACUAAGACUCUUCCUUUGAAAGGAAAAAAAAAAAAAAAUUUAUGCACAGAUAGUCGUGUAACGUCUCUCCAGCUACUUGAGAAGUCAGUAGGAGGGAAUGGCUGCGAAACGGUACCCUUCAGCUCCUCUCCACGAGUAGUAAGCAAUCCGAGUCUCAUAGAACCCUGAUUAUAGCCACACAAUUGUGAAAUCAUCGUUAUACUCAUAUAGCAUAAACGGACAUAGAGAACAAACAAAAGAGAAGAAUCAUUUCAGCAGAGACAAAGAACACAAGCUGUAUGUACUAACUUGAUCAAUCUCACUCGAUCUCCACAUCAAACAAACGGAAUCCACAAGGGUUAUCAAAUCAAGCAACAUGUAACAUAUUCACUGCACUUUCCAGAAAACUGGAGGAUCACAGAAGCAUAAGUGGCUAAAAGAAAACGUAAUUUCAAACAGACAAAAGAACACAAGCUGUGUCUACUUGCUCCAGCUCCCUUAAUCUCUACAUCAAACAACGGAAUCCACAAAGGGUUUUUUAAAAUCAAGCAUUAUGCAUUGAGAACAGCAACGUGAUGACAUUCACUGCUCUUUCCAGGAAACAUAAGAGGAUCUCAGAAGCAUAAAUGGCUAAAGAAAGCAUCAUUUCAACAGACAACAGAGCAAAAACUGCAUGAUUUCAGCAGACAAGGAACACAAGCUGCAUAAUUUCAGCAGACAAGGAACACAAGCUGCCUGAUUUCAACAGACAAAGAACACAAGUUGCAUGAUUUCAACAGACGAGGAAAAUAAGCUGUUGUCUACUUGAUCCAACUCACUCAAUAUCCACAUCAAACAACGGUUUUCAAAUCAAGGAUCAAGCACUCAAACAGCAACAUGACAACGUUCACUGCUCUUUCCAGAAAACUAAAGGAUCUCAGAAGCAUAAAAAGACUAAAGAAACCAUAGUAUCAACAGACAAAGAGCUAGCAUAAUCUUUGCCAUGUUGAUCCAACUCACUAAAACUCCACAUCAAACAACAGACUCCAUUGCAAUGAAGUAUCAAGCGAGAAUAAAUAAACUAAAGAAUCAUAUCUAACUCUUACCAGGGAGGAAAGUAAGGAUGCCAAGAACAAGAAGCGCGUAACCCUGAGAGCUAUCUCCUUCCAUGUGACCAGUGAAUAUGAAAACCGUCAAAAGGAGAAGCAAGCAACCAAGAAACAGAAGAAACAAAGCUAACGCUAUAGACUUCCACGGUACUCUAUCAAAUGCUUUCGGCGUAUAAUCGAAUCGAGGAUCGAAAUCUCUCCUUACGCCACCGUUUGCGUAAUCUUCAUCGUCUUCGUCCCCUGGAAGCUGAGCGUACCGUACGUUUCUCCUCGACGCCAUUCCUAAUCAGAGUAACCACACACAAAAACAAACUCUUAACUAAGAGAAAUCAAGGUUACGAAAAUCAAUCGCGCCAAAAUUGAACGGCUUAGAACCUGAAGAAGAGAAAGGUGGGGGCGAGAAACUAACCGGAGUUGGAUGAUUCCGUCGUCGGGAGGAUAGAGAUGAUCCGGAUCUACUUUGACGAGCGGAUUUGCAUUUCUUCUUCGUCUUCGUCUCUAUCGCGACGACGACGCUUUUUGCGUUUCAACUCUUUUGAAACUUUAUAGAUUAAGUCCCUUGGAUUUCAUUAAAUCAUAUACUGAACCCCUUACUUUAUUUUUGUCUAAAAAAGACCAAUCAAUGAUAUUGUGUGCUCGUGUGUUACUUAUUCUCCCUUUACAUUUACCAAGGAGAAAAAGACCAAAAUAGUAUUAAAUCAAGUUUUUGUUCCCAAACUAACAUUCAAGGCCAAAAGUCACAAAAAUAGCAUUCAAGGGGUGGGGUUUAGUGUUUAGAAUUUAGGGUUUAUGGUUUAGAGUUUAGGUUUUAGGGUUUAGAGUUGAGAAGUGAGGUUUUGGAGAUAAGAUUUCAAAUUUUGAAAAUUAAAAAAAUUUAAAUUUUUCAAAAAAUAAAAUGCUAUUUUGGUCAUUUUAGUUUUUGAGUGCUAUUUUGUGAUAUAAAUUUAGAAAGGUGCUAUUUUGGAGAUUUGCCAUUUACUAAAUCUUAACCUUAAAAUUAAAAGAAGAGUUUUACUUGCAGGAUGACCACAAUUGAAAUUAUGUAUAUGCCAUUACCAUAAGAUUGUAACAAAGCUAAACCAUAGCAAAUUAGAUGUUCACAUGGCAAACUAGAAUAUCUUUUAAGAAAUGAGAAAUUAAACCCUAUAACCAAAAAAAUAUCCAAAUUAACAAAGUAACCAACCUUUCCACACUUUUUUUUCCUAUUUUUCUCUACUUUUUUUUCUCAUAGCAAACUAGAAUAUCUUUUAAGAAAUGAGAAAUUAAACCCUAUAACCAAAAAAAUAUCCAAAUUAACAAAGUAACCAACCUUCCCACACUUUUUUUUCCUAUUUUUCUCUACUUUUUUUUCUCAUGGCAAACUAGAAUAUCUUUUAAGAAAUGAGAAAUUAAACCUUAUAACCAAAAAAAUAUCCAAAUUAACAAAGUAACCAACCUUCACACACUUUUUUUCCUAUUUUUCUCUACUUUUUUUUCUCAUGGCAAACUAGAAUAUCUUUUAAGAAAUGAGAAAUUAAACCCUAUAACCAAAAAAUUAUCCAAAUUAACAAGGGUCAAUUAGCCAAAUAGCUAAAAUUUGAAGUGAAAUUAAGAGAAUGGCAUUGAUUUUGACGUAAUUGGAUAACUAACAUUUAAGGCCCAUUUGAUCCGGUAAUACCCUUGGUUGGUGCAAGUAACCGGUGAAAGAUAGAAAGUUAGAUGACGUAAACAAAUUGAGGUAUGGCUAAUAUUUAAAUCACAUCUGAGUGAAUAUAAGGAACCACGUCACAUAUUUAUGACCACAUACAUAUGUUUCAGUGUUCUAUUCCACAUCACCGAAAUAAAACAGAUUUCUAACCUCACUCACAUACUCUAAUACUAAACAUUAUCCCAAAUCUAACCCAUAUAUACUAAACAUUAUCCAAAUCCCACCCCAACCCCUUAAUACUAAACCCUAAACCUUAAUCAAUAAACCCUAAACUCAAAUACAUAACUCUAAACCUAAAUAUAAAUUCUAAACCCAAAUAUAAAUUCUAAACCCAAAUAGAAUGAAACAAAAUAAAUAAUAUGGUAUAUAUUGGUAAAAUUAUGAAAUGUCUAUAAUUUCGUAGAAGAAGUUGAUGUUGAUCCCAACUAUACCUCCUCAUCUUCUAAAUACUAAACCCUAAACUAUAUUCACUAAUCCCUAAACUCAAAUAUAAACCAUAAACCCAAAUAGAAUGUAACAAAAUAAAUAGCAUGGUAUAUAUUGGUGAAAUUAUGAAAUAUCUAUGAUUUCAUGGAAACGGUUAAUGUGACCCAACUGUACCCAACUAUACCCUAAACUUUAAUCCCUAAAACCUAAAUAUAAACCCUACACGGAAAUAUAAACCCUAAUCUAAUGUCAACCCCAAUCUUUCAUAAACUAAACCCGAAUGGAACAAAAUGAUGAAAUAUCUAUGAUUUCAUGGAAGAAGUUAAUGCUGAUCCCCCAACCAUAUCCCCUCACCUUCUAAAUACUAAACCCUAAAUUAUAUUCACCAAACCCUAAACCAAAAUAUAAACCCUAAACCCAAAUAUAAAUCCUAAACCCAAAUAUCAAAGUCUAAAAAAUUACAUAUAUUAUGUAAAAUUAAAUUAUAUUAUGUAAUAUUAAACUACACAAUCUAGAUCAUAGCACGAUAUUUACUUGUUCCAAAACUAUAUUUCUUAACAAAAUAAAACACUCUUUAGUAAUCAUCAAAUGGAAUGGAACAUGAUAAAAUAGAAGAGUAGCAUAAUAUAUCGCAUUUCAUAACAGGAAUAGAACAAACAUAACACAUAUUAUUUUACAUUUCUAUUCCAUAUGCGAAUAGAAUAGAACAAACAUAACACAUAUUGUUUUACAUUUCUAUUCCAUAUGCGAAUAGAAUAGAACAAAAUAAACAGAUACUGUUUAUCUUCUCCGAUCAACUUCAUCCACGGCGAAAAAAUGUAACUAUAUCUCGCAACAUCAGUGGAGAUAAUACAUAUAACCGUAUCAGAGAGACAUAUUUUGUUGUUGAUACAGUAAAUAGAAGAGAAGAACAUACGGUGGUGACGGAUGAUGGUGCUGUUUGCAUAGAUGGAGGUGAUCGCCACUACACAGGUCUUUUCGGCUAGGAUCAACACAAAUUGGAAUGUGAAUGCGAAUCAGCAAGGGAUUGUAAUUAGAGAAAACGCGGUGGAGAGAAUCUGGAGUGAAACUAUUCAAAGGGGUGUGAAUCUGGAAGAGACACGACAUAUUUUUGCAAAAUAGUAAUUUUUAUUUUUAUUUUUUUCUAGCAGGUUUCUCCGGUUUCAAGCAGGGGUAAUACAGCAAUAUUAUAUAAAAGACAUGUGAAACAGUGAAAAGUUAGGGUAUUUGGCUACUCAAUCAAUUAUGCUUUUUUGUAGCGUCAUCUCACUUAAUUUCCCAAUUAACAAAGUAACCAACCUUCUCUCACUUUUUUUUUUCCUUUUUUUCUCUACUUUUUUUCUCAUGGCAAACUAGAAUAUCUUUUAAGAAAUGAGAAACUGAACCCUAUAACCAAAAAAUUAUCCAAAUUAGCAAAGUAACCAACCUUCUCCCACUUUUUUUUUCCUAUUUUUCUCUAAUUUUUUUCUCUAGAAAUUUAAUUUUGUUUUCUUAUUGUUAUUUCACUAAUUAACCCUUAAAAAUUAAGAAGAAGAAGAAAAUAAAGUCAUGUGGAAGGGGUCAAUUUGGAAAGAAGAAAAAGUAGAGGGGUACAAGUGGGAGAAUAGAAAAAGAGAGUGCGUAUAUAAAGGGAAGAAGGAAGCCC